This is a small nuclear RNA of Acomys russatus (golden spiny mouse), 103 nucleotides long. The record is from RefSeq and is a predicted model, not a curated record. NCBI's taxonomy places the organism in Eukaryota, Metazoa, Chordata, Mammalia, Rodentia, Muridae.
GCUUGCUUCAGCAGUGUCUACAAAAACUGGAACGAUACAGUGAAGAUUAACAUGGACCCUGCGCAAGGAUGACACACAAACUUGUGAAGCAUUCCAUAUUUUU